This 470-nucleotide long non-coding RNA is filed under the name Mytilus galloprovincialis (Mediterranean mussel). Lineage: Eukaryota; Metazoa; Mollusca; Bivalvia; Mytilida; Mytilidae. The record is from RNAcentral.
GGAGUAAAUAAAUAAUGACAUUUUAAUACAACAAAUGUUCCUACUAAGGGAAAAUAAUCUGUAUUUUAACCUUACACCAGCCACAAUCCUUAUUCUAGACAAAUCACCAGGGGGAUGUAUAAUUUUUUUAACAGCACCAAGCACUUGAAUAAAUACAUCUUCUAAUUGGUGGUAUAUAUCAUGUAUACCCAAAAAAUAUGAGACCCAGUUUUAUAGCUUGUGCAUGGUCAAUGAAAUGUAUAAAAUCUAACUUUUGCCACCUUCCAAAAUGCAAUGUGCUGUUUUUAUCGAACUCAGUAGACCACUUUUUGUUGGCAGUAUAUGAACUGUAUCUUUAAUUGAUCAUACCAACCCUACAAUUAUCAACAGACUAAGAACGAACAAUAAAUGAAAUAAAGAAUAUAAAAUUCCAUGAAGUGGUUUAGGAGAAAUAAAUGUUAUAGUCUGUUUGUUGAAGUCAUAAAAGUCUG